Molecule: ribosomal RNA, 856 nt
Filed under: uncultured archaeon
Lineage: Archaea
Description: bacterial SSU rRNA
Rfam family: Archaeal small subunit ribosomal RNA
Source: RNAcentral
CCUGACUGCUAUCGGAUUGAUACUAAGCCAUGCGAGUCAUUGUAGCAAUACAAGGCAGACGGCUCAGUAACGCGUAGUCAAUCUACCCUAUGGACGGGAAUAACCUCGGGAAACUGAGAAUAAUGCCCGAUAGAACAUUAUGCCUGGAAUGGUUUAUGUUUCAAAUGAUUUAUCGCCAUAGGAUGGGACUGCGGCCUAUCAGUUUGUUGGUGAGGUAAUGGCCCACCAAGACUAUUACAGGUACGGGCUCUGAGAGGAGUAGCCCGGAGAUGGGUACUGAGACACGGACCCAGGCCCUAUGGGGCGCAGCAGGCGAGAAAACUUUGCAAUGUGCGAAAGCACGACAAGGUUAAUCCGAGUGGUUUCUGCUAAAGAAACCUUUUGUCAGUCCUAGAAACACUAACGAAUAAGGGGUGGGCAAGUUCUGGUGUCAGCCGCCGCGGUAAAACCAGCACCUCAAGUGGUCAGGAUGAUUAUUGGGCCUAAAGCAUCCGUAGCUCGUUUUGUAAGUUUUCGGUUAAAUCCAUGCGCUUAACGUAUGGGCUGCCGGGAAUACUGCAUAACUAGGAAGUGGGAGAGGUAGACGGUACUCGGGAGGAAGGGGUAAGAUCCUUUGAUCUCUUGAUGACCACCUGUGGCGAAGGCGGUCUACCAGAACACGUUCGACGGUGAGGGAUGAAAGCUGGGGGAGCAAACCGGAUUAGAUACCCGGGUAGUCCCAGCUGUAAACUAUGCAAACUCAGUGAUGCAUUGGCUUAUGGCCAAUGCAGUGCUGCAGGGAAGCCGUUAAGUUUGCCGCCUGGGAAGUACGUACGCAAGUAUGAAACUUAAAGGAAUUGGCGGGGGAGCACCACAA